ACUUUGCACUGUACCUUGUCUGUACCUUAGGCCAAACCUAUAACAAAUUGCUCUGAGCCUUAUGGGAAAGGCCUUAUUCAUAGGACCUCAUAUUGAAGCUGUCUGCUGGAAAGGACUAGAUUGACAGGGCUGAGAGAAGAAUUGUCACCAUCCUCUGCCAGUAGAGAUGACUAUUUCAAAGUCAUGAAAAGAGAACAGAAGACCUGUCAAAGAAAGUUUGGCUUCUGGUCCAAGAAGACAUUUUUAUUCUUUUUAAACUGACAAGCUGAUCAGCUGUGAGUUUGUAAGGAGCUCCUUAUAAAUGUCUGAAAGCUUCCAAAAAUGUUUUCCCACCCUAGUACUUUUUUAUGCCAGUAAGAUCAGCUGAGACAGAUAAAAUAAGUGACAGAAAUUUAUACUACCCAGAAAGUGUUUAGCUACUGAGAAGUGAUGAUGCAGUGAAUGGUAGCUUAGUUUAUUAUAUUUUUUCCCUAUAGCUUUGCAUUAGAGGGGUUAGCUCUCUUGAUC
Molecule: long non-coding RNA, 507 nt
Filed under: Dromaius novaehollandiae (emu)
Lineage: Eukaryota; Metazoa; Chordata; Aves; Casuariiformes; Dromaiidae
Description: lncRNA (ENSDNVG00000002725.1)
Source: RNAcentral